GACGAACGCUGGCGGCGUGCUUAACACAUGCAAGUCGAACGGUAAGGCCCUUCGGGGUACACGAGUGGCGAACGGGUGAGUAACACGUGGGUGAUCUGCCCUGCGCUUCGGGAUAAGCCUGGGAAACUGGGUCUAAUACCGGAUAGGACCACUGCCUGCAUGGGUGGUGGUGGAAAGCUUUUGCGGUGUGGGAUGGGCCCGCGGCCUAUCCACUUGUUGGUGGGGUGAUGGCCUACCAAGGCGACGACGGGUAGCCGGCCUGAGAGGGUGACCGGCCACACUGGGACUGAGAUACGGCCCAGACUCCUACGGGAGGCAGCAGUGGGGAAUAUUGCACAAUGGGCGCAAGCCUGAUGCAGCGACGCCACGUGAGGGAUGACGGCCUUCGGGUUGUAAACCUCUUUCAGCACCGACGAAGCGCAAGUGACGGUAGGUGCAGAAGAAGGACCGGCCAACUACGUGCCAGCCGCCGCAGUAA
Molecule: ribosomal RNA, 478 nt
Filed under: uncultured bacterium
Lineage: Bacteria
Description: partial 16S ribosomal RNA
Rfam family: Bacterial small subunit ribosomal RNA
Source: RNAcentral